RNAcentral lists this unclassified non-coding RNA (1015 nucleotides) under Hevea brasiliensis (rubber tree). The record is from RNAcentral. Lineage: Eukaryota; Viridiplantae; Streptophyta; Magnoliopsida; Malpighiales; Euphorbiaceae.
GUCGACAUUCUCUGCCUUCAACUUCACCUUAAUCUUUGCAGGUUCCAGUAUGACCUUUUCAGUAUCAUCCAUUAGUGAAGAAUGUGACACCUUCUUCUCCUCAUCGAUAACCCUUUCUAGCUUUGGGACUACAAAGUGCUUCAUCACUGAUGAAGUCAGAUAGCCAGCUUUCUUCACAUUCAUAAUUUCAGCGGUAUCCUUGACAGCAAACAGGUCAGAGAAUCCAUUAGUUACAUCACUGAGCUGAAAUUGUGUAUUCUUUAGCUUCUCAGUCCAUGUCUCUAAAAGAUUCCCUUCAGGAGCUUCUCUCGCGAUGUGUCCAACAACGGGCACAUUUGACUCUGACUGAUCUUGCAUUGCUCGAAAAAUUGCAUCCAUUGCACCAGUCCCGUCAUCUUUUUUAGACCUCACGUGCAUUACAACAUCCACUCCCACAACAUCCUUGGAGGUUUUCUUGACAGCUUCAAGUAAGGAGGCCUUCUUCUGGCUACAGAGAAAAUGGAUCUGCUUCUUCAUGAAAACCAUGAUAGUAUCAGGAAAUUCAUACCCAACUAACCACAUAUUUAAAGCUGACGACUUCAGAUACCGCAAAUCCUCAGAUGGAGGAGGAGUUCCUAUGGCAAGAGCUUCAGAAGCUCCCCAAAGUUCAUCAUUGUGUUCAGUCCAGUGGGAGUAUAAUGUUUUUAGUCUUUUACCGAAGUUCUCCAGAUUGAUGGCAUAAGGAUUGGCUGUUCCGGAUGCUUUGUCAUUAGAAGCCUUGACAUUACUAUUCCGGGUAUCAGCCAUCGAGUAGGACGAAUACAAGCCCUUAAACCCUCAAUAAAGUGCAGAGCCAAGCGUGAUGAUAACUUUGCAAUUGACUCUGCUUUUCAGGAACAAACCUUUCUCCGAUCCUCUAAUAUCCUGAUCAUGAACCGAGCUUUGUGACGCCGAUACAGAUCUGAUGCAAUUACGAUCUCUUAUAUUAAACAGGAUCGACGAAGACGAUCAUUUUUAUCAAUGGAGGAAUUUAAAG